AUGGGAGGGAGUGGUCGGUGGUUGUGGAAAUUUCAAGGGGAUUGACAAAGACCUGCACAGAUAACCUCCAGAUGACCUCUGAAAGAUGAAUUAAUCUCAUUAGAUGGAGAAGUAGAAGUGUAAAAAGUGCCAGUCUAAAUCCUCCACCCUGUGAUAAAAACAAACAGAACCAGAACACUACAUUCCCAAAAGUUGGACCAGACUUGGACUUUUUGAAUUCUGCUAACCUCAUGCAGUUUUAGAUUUGUCCACUGGUAUGGGGAUUUGUUGGUUUUAGAGGAAGGCUAUAUAUCACUGCAUUGAAUCGAGAGCAAAUGCGGCGAAAAGGAAAACUGAACCUACCUACCGAUGCGCCUCAAUCAGCUGAUCCAACGUAAGUAGGUAAA
This is a long non-coding RNA of Girardinichthys multiradiatus, 386 nucleotides long. RefSeq lists it as uncharacterized. The record is from RefSeq and is a predicted model, not a curated record. NCBI's taxonomy places the organism in Eukaryota, Metazoa, Chordata, Actinopteri, Cyprinodontiformes, Goodeidae. The transcript is spliced from 3 exons.